UGGGCUUGACAUCUACGAGAAACCCCGGUGAAAGCCGGGGCCCUCUUCGGAGUUCGUAGACAGGUGCUGCAUGGCUGUCGUCAGCUCGUGUCGUGAGAUGUUGGGUUAAGUCCCGCAACGAGCGCAACCCUUAUCUGCUGUUGCUAACGGGUAAAGCCGAGGACUCUGCAGAGACUGCCGGUGACAAACCGGAGGAAGGUGGGGAUGACGUAGCACGCAAUAACA
Molecule: unclassified non-coding RNA, 225 nt
Filed under: uncultured Gemmatimonadota bacterium
Lineage: Bacteria; Pseudomonadati; Gemmatimonadota
Description: uncultured Gemmatimonadetes bacterium contains 16S-23S intergenic spacer region
Rfam family: Bacterial small subunit ribosomal RNA
Source: RNAcentral